UACGUAGGGACCAAGCGUUGUUCGGAUUUACUGGGCGUAAAGGGCGCGUAGGCGGCGCGGUAAGUCACUUGUGAAAUCUCUGAGCUUAACUCAGAACGGCCAAGUGAUACUGCAGUGCUAGAGUGUGGAAGGGGCAAUCGGAAUUCUUGGUGUAGCGGUGAAAUGCGUAGAUAUCAAGAGGAACACCUGGGGUGAAGACGGGUUGCUGGGCCAACACUGACGCUGAGGCGCGAAAGCCAGGGGAGCAAAUGGG
Molecule: ribosomal RNA, 253 nt
Filed under: uncultured bacterium
Lineage: Bacteria
Description: partial 16S ribosomal RNA
Rfam family: Bacterial small subunit ribosomal RNA
Source: RNAcentral